This 96-nucleotide transfer RNA is filed under the name Neurospora sp. IMI 360204. RNAcentral describes it as "tRNA-Ser". Lineage: Eukaryota; Fungi; Ascomycota; Sordariomycetes; Sordariales; Sordariaceae. The record is from RNAcentral.
AGCUCGUUGGUGUAAUGGUAACAUUCCCGGCGUGGAAAAUUCCGCGUCUGCAUACGUGCCGCAGGAAGACAACGGUUCGAGUCCGUUACGGGGCCA